RNAcentral lists this ribosomal RNA (253 nucleotides) under uncultured bacterium. RNAcentral describes it as "partial 16S ribosomal RNA". It matches the Rfam family "Bacterial small subunit ribosomal RNA", at positions 524 to 776 of the family's 1533-position model. The record is from RNAcentral.
GACGAACCGUGCGAACGUUGUUCGGAAUCACUGGGCUUAAAGGGCGCGUAGGCGGGCUCGCCAGUCAGGGGUGAAAGCCCACGGCUCAACCGUGGAAGUGCCUUUGAUACUGCGAGUCUCGAGGAAGGUAGGGGCGUGCGGAACUUCCGGUGGAGCGGUGAAAUGCGUAGAUAUCGGAAGGAACACCGGUGGCGAAAGCGGCGCGCUGGACCUCUACUGACGCUGAGGCGCGAAAGCCAGGGGAGCAAACAGG